RNAcentral lists this long non-coding RNA (6411 nucleotides) under Homo sapiens (human). RNAcentral's name for it is "long independently transcribed non-coding RNA 2981, transcript variant 6 (LINC02981)". Lineage: Eukaryota; Metazoa; Chordata; Mammalia; Primates; Hominidae. The record is from RNAcentral.
GGGUGGGCGGAGCCGCGGCCGGGCAGUUCAUUAUGUUGGACAGGGCGCGUCUGCGCCUCCGGCCGCCGCGGCUCCCGGGGCCUCCGCCUGCAGCCGGCGGCGGAACGAGGGCAGGCGGCUGAGACAGGCGAGCUAUUUGCAUUCCCCGGCAGUCAUUUUUAUAUGCGGAGGUAAUGAAGUUGUCAGCGGCGCCCCGAGUGUGGCAGAGCCUGAUAUUCAAAUCGCCCUGCCCGCUCCGCCUGCUCCCGCCCGCUGGUCCCGGGAGCCCCAGGCUGCGCGCGCCCGCACCGCAUCGCCGCUUUGCCCCGCGACCGCGCGCGCCUCCUCGUCCUCCCCCGCGCCUUUGUUUCCGUCUCCUUCUCCUUUCCCUCCUCUUUUGUGUCGGGCCAGACUCAGCCCCAGAAACCAGCCACCCUGCCGCGUCCGACUGCCAGGGAUCCCUCACGCCGCGAGGUGGAGUCUCGCUCUGUCGCCCAGGCUGGAGUACAGUGGUGCGAUCUUGGCUCCCUGCAACUUCUGCCUCCCAGGUUCAAGCGAUUUUCCUGCCUCAGCUUCCUGAGUAGCUGGGACUACAGGAAGAGACACUAGAGAGACACUCAGCUGCAGUGAGAAUACACAGGCAUCUUCAAGUACCAGAGAUGUCUCCAAGAGCACCAGCAACCCCAGCUAUCUGGAUCUGAAGUGGAUAUGCUCAGAGACAUCCUGGCCCACCCCAAAGAAGAUGCUGCUGCACUCAGAAGACGCCAGAGCUAGCCACCACCCACACUGCAAGUCUGGAAGCUCUGCAAGGACCCAGCAAGGCAGCCUGCUCAGCGAAGGCUUUGUCUCCUGUGGCAGGAAGAGCAACAUUAAGAACAAGAACCCCGGGCUGGACUACCCCUGAGAUUUAAUGACCAGAGCUGAGACCCCCAAGACCACAAUGACUAUGGAGGGCUGUCAUUACCCUGCCUGACCCUCUAAUGCCUCUCAGUUCAAGGAGGCCACUGAGUGAAACUGAAGGCUGGUUUUCCUUGGAAGCCAGCGGCCCAUCCACCUGCUCCACUUCCCUGCCUCUUGCAGCCUCCGCUCAAACACUGUCGUGGCUUGGCAGCACUACAAGUAUUUCAGGGGCUGCCAAGCUGCUCUCCUGUUUCCUCUUCCUUGGGGCUGAUUGCAUCCCAUGAUGUGCCCAGGUUUUGAGAUGCUCCUCGUGAAUGAAAAUAGGACUGUCUGGUUCCUCCAUCCAUAGCAAGGGAGCCUAGACAGAAAUAACUUCUGUGCAUUUCUCCAGCUACAUUUAGCUGAAAAUAUGUCUACGUGAGGUUAACUGUAUUUACCCAAUGCCAGAUACCUGAAAGAGUGUGAAAAAUUAAGGGAAAACUAGAAAAUACAGAAAUAUAUCAAGAAGAAAAAAAAUUUAAAAAUGACCCAAAAUCCCACCAACCAGAGACAGCUAUUAAUGAUUGUGGUAUAUUUAUUGAAUUUACUAAAGUCAUGCUAUACGCUAGGCACUGUGGAGGGACUGCAGAAAGACUUCAAGGACUGCACCGUCUUGUUAGAAAGAUGCCUAGACAACAUUUGAGAAACGCUGAUCAUGUCUGAUGACACAUAACUGCUAACAGUUACAUGGAAUUUUCUAUAUGCUAUAUACAAACAUACAAAUAUAUGUAUGUAUAUUUACUCAGCUCUCACAACAGCUACUACUGUUAUUAUGAAUCCUGUUUUAUAGUGAGAAAACUGAAACAUGGAGAGGUUAAGUAAUUUGCCCAAGAUCACAUAGCUACUAAGUGGUGGAACUGUGAUUAGAAUCCAGGCAUUCAGGCUCCAGAGUUCAUACUCUUCACAUACCACAUCUAUCUUGAAUAUAACAAUGUAGAGAAAAAGAAUUAUAGCAAGCAUAUGUCUAGGUAAGCAUUUUCCAGAAGUGACUGUUUUUUUGCAUUGGGUUUGUAAACUUUCAACAAUAAAGCAGGUUGGACUUUAUAUCAGUCAAAGCAGAAUAUUCUGAUGUCACCUUCCCCAAUGUUUAGGAUGUUAAUGAGAAUUGCUAAUCCAAGAGAAGAAAAUAAUCUCAUCUAAUUUGGGUAAGUCAAUUAUUUGAAAGUAGAAGAACCACCCUUCCACCUCUCUUGUUCUAAGGAACCUCUGGGGGAAGUACUGGAAAAAUAAUGCUUUCUAAUAAGCCCAAUAGGGCUUUUGAUUUGUAAUAACUAUUUUAAUAAGUAUCAGUUCAAUUCCUAUUAUUUUUAAGAAGUUCAUUGAAUGAAUUAAAGAACAAAUGAAUGAGCAAUGCUUUAGGCUAUAGGCUUUCAGAGGACGUAAUUCUAUGAAACAGACUCAGUGGUAUGCUGGCACCAGCUCCUACUUGCGUCUCUUUUCAACUUUGUGUUCAGUGACUUUGCCUUGGUAGCUUGACAUCAGCCAUGGUGGGAAUAUUUAAACUAAAUAACUGAGAAAAUGAUUCAUAUUAGAGAGCUUUCUUUUUUCCCGGGAACUAAGUGUUAAACAUUUACCAGCACACCACUGCCUAGACUUGUUAGGAAAUUCACAAGUGAGAAGAAAUUCUGUGAUUCCAGGAGAUGAAAGAGGGAAGUGUAAUGAGAAUAUCAACUUGAGUAUUUUAUCCGUUGCUUUCUUUAAUUGGGUCAUUUCAGAGGGUGGGUAGAUUUUGUUAAGACAGUUGAAAUAUUUAGGUAGGUAGAGGGGUGAGUGCAGUUGAAGAGUAAAGGCUGUUUGGGGCAGACAAAAGAAUGAUAGCACUCUUUCAAGUGCUCUGCCACCAGCAGUAAAAGUCGGGAGAAGGACCUAGCACCAGGACACGUGAUCUGUCCGGCGUAAGCGAGUGCUGAGUCAAAGGCCUGCAAUUCAGGCCCCUGCUCUGGGGCACGGUCAGUUUCAGCCAGGCCCAACUCUCUUUCCCAGGUCCAUGGCGUGGAUGGCACCCAGAAUCCAGCAGGGGAGUGCUGGUGGAUACACCUGGGAGGGCCUGGUGGAGGAUCAUUUGCGUGCAGAAAUAAGGAAAUAGACAUAUUUGAGCUGGAAGAAAAUCUUACAUGUCUGAUCCAAUUCUCUCAUUUCACAGAUAAGGAAAAGGGGCCCCAAAGAGUGAAGAGGGGAUGUCCUGAGGUCAUGAGGCUGGCUUACAGCAAGGAUCUGGACCAGACAGCAGGGUGGGACCCUCAGCUGUCCCCAUACUUGCUGCUUGAUAUUGGAUAGGUUAUUUAGGCUCUAUGUGUUUUCUCAUAAACACAUAGAGGUUAGGUAAAAAUGGUGGUGUGAGAAUGAACUAAUACAUGUAAAGAGCUUGCAUGUAGUAAGCUCUCAAUAAAUAUUAAUAAUACUGGGCACAGUGGCUCACACCUGUAAUCCCAGCACUUUGAGAGGCCAAGGCGGGUGGAUCCCUUGAGGUCAGGAGUUUGAGAACGCCCUGACAAACAUGGUGAAACCCCAUCUCUACUAAAAAUACAAAAAAUUAGCCAGGCAUGGUGGUGGGUGCCUGUAAUCCCAGCUGCUCGGGAGGCUGAGGCAAGAGAAUCACUUGAACCUGAGAGGUGGAGGUUGCUUUGAGCCCAGAUCAUGCCACUGCACUCCAGCCUAGGUGACAGAACCAGACUUCAUCUCAAAAAAAAAAAAAUUAAUAAUAUAGAGCCCUUGUGUUGACACUAUUCUCUUUUACAGCCAGAAAGAGAGAAAGAUUACAGAAAAUAAAAAUAUAUUAAUAUAUUAAAGGCAUAAUACUGUGAAUUAAUACUGAUUAAUUCAAUAUACUAUUAUAUCAAAAACCAGGAUACUAAUAAUAAAUAAUAUAUGGAAAACCACCAUACACAUUGGUAAAACAUUAACAUUUUCAAAUCUCCAAUCCAAGAAUUUUCCCCAAAUCCAGAUUGUGCAGGUAUUUUAGUGAAUGAUUCACCCUACAGAAUUACUUAUUACAUUUUUCUUUAAACUUCAAUGGAUUUGUAGCUGAAUGAGGGAUCAGGUAAUCACCAGACAUCUUGGAAGGGCACAUGAUCCCUCAGGCCUUUUCUUGGAGAAUGUUUAAAGAAACCUCUUCCUUCCCAUUAGGGAGGCCGACCAUGAGUCCCUUUGUGUUGACAGUGAAGGUGUCUGGGGCUACACCUCUUUCACAUGCUCUGCCACCAGCAGUAAAAGUCAGAAGGCCCUGGCACAGGGCACACCUGAUCUGUUCGGCAUAAGUGCUGAGUCAAAAGCCUGCAAUUAAGGCCAGUGGCUGGGAGGAGGCCUGGUCCCAGCCUCUCCUUGAUUUGCCUCACCCCACCCAAACACAGGUCAUGUUCAUCAUCUGCUAGCCAGCAAGGAAGAUGUGUGGGGUACAGGUUACAGGGACUGAGCCCGGAGCCUGACUUUCUGGGCUCUACCACUCGUUGUCUUCAUUUCCAAAGGCAAAGCACUUGACCUCUCUGAGCCUCCAUUUCUCAUCCAUAAAAUGGGGAUGAUGAUAAAAGUGACUGCUUCAUAGGAUUGUUGAGAGGAUCAACUCAAGUAAUAUGUGAAAAGUGGCACAUAAUAAGUACUCUGUUUCAUGUUUCUAAUUAAUUUUAUUUUUUUUAGGUUUUUUACUGUGGUAAAAUAUAUGUAACAUAAAAUUUACUAUUUUACUAUUUUUAAGUGUAAGUGGCGUUGAAUACAUUGUGGCAUUGAAUACAUUCACACUGUCAUGCAACCAUCAACACCAUCCACCUCCAGCCUUCUUCGUCAUCCCAAACUGAAACUCUACUCAUUAAACAAUAACUCCUCAUUCCCGCUUCCCCUUAGCCUCUGGGAACCAUUGUUCUUUGCCCAUUUUUAAAUGGAGGUUGUUGCUGGGUUGUGGGAGUUCUUUAUUCUGGAUAUUAAUCCUUUACCAAAUAGAUAAUUUGAUUUUUUUUCCUAUUCUGUGUGUUGCCUUGACUAUGUCCUUUCAUGCACAAAAUAUUUUAAUUUUGAUGAAGUCUAGUUUACCUAUUUUUUCUUGUAUUGCCUGUGUUUUGGUGUUAAUUCCAAGAAAUCAUUGCAAAAUUCAAUGUCAUGAAAUUUUGCCCCUUUCUUCUAAGAGUUUUAUAGUUUUAGCUCUUAUGUUUAGGUCAUUGAUGACUUUGAGUUAAUUUUUGUUUAUGAUGUAAGGUAAUGGUACAACUUCAUCCUUUUGCAUGUGGAUAUCCAGUUUUCCCAGCACUAUUUAUUGAAAAAAAGACUGUCUUUUCUCCAUUGAGUGGUCUUGGCAUCCUAGUUGAAAAUCAUUUGACCCUAUAUAUUAAGGUUUAUUUCUGAUUUCAUUGGUCUAUGAGUCUGUCUUUAUGCCAGGACCACUCUGUUUUGAUUACGGUAGCUUUAUAGCAAGUUUUGAAAUCAGGAAGUGUGAGACCUUCAACUUUGUUCUUCAUUUUUCUGGAUGUUUUGGCUAUUCUGGGCCCCUUGAGAUUUGAGAAAGAGUUCCCUCUACUGGCAGAUCUAAGACAGUCUGUUGACUCAGGUACCUGAUAAUUUUUGAAGAUGCAUUUAAGAAGUUAAACUAUUGAGAAUAAAAAAAUCUUAGCUAGGCUUUAUUUUAUUUUUCUGAUCGGUUAGAGACUCUUGGAGACUUCUCUUUCUUCUCAAUCAAUUUGACUGAGGUAUAAUUAAAAAAAAAUAAAACAUACUGAUAUGGCUUGGCUGUGUCCCCACCCAAAAUCUCAUCUUGAAUUAUAAUCCCCAUAAUCAUCAUAAUCCCCACGUGUCAAGAGAGAGACCAGGUGGAAGUAAUUGAAUCAUGGGGGCAGUUUCCCCGAUGUUGUUCUCGUGAUAGUGAGUGAGUUCUCACGAGAUCUGAUGGUUUAUGUGUUUACUAGUUCUUCCUGCGUUAAUUUUCCUUCCUGCCACCAUGUGAAGAAGGGGUCUUGCUUCCCCUUCGCUUUCUUACACGAUUGAAAGUUUCCUGAGGCCUCCCCAGUCCUGCGGAACUGUGAGUCAAUUAAACCUCUUUCCUUUAUAAAUUACCCAGUCUCGGACAGUUCUUUAUAGCAGUAUGAAAACAGACUAAUGCAUAUACAGACACAUACACCUAAGUAACCAUCACUAUCGCAAUCAGGAUAUCAAAUAUUUCUAUCAACCCAAAAAGUUCCUUUGUGAUUUUUGUAGUCAGUCCCCACUCUUGAUUCCCCAUGCCCCAGGCAACCACAGGUCUGCUCCCCGUCAUAUAGACGAGUGUUGUCUGUGUUCAGAUUUCAAAUACAUGGAAUUGCACAAUAUAUGCUCCUAUGUCUAAAUUUUUUUCACUUAGCAUAAUGUUUUCGAAAUUCAUUCAUGUUGUAUUUAUCAGUAGUUUUUAGCAUUGUAUCGCACUGUGGUAUUUCAUUGUAUAUAUCAUCAUUUGUUUAUCCAUUGACCAGUUGAACAUUUGGGCUAUUUCCAGUUUGGGGCUGUUUUGAAUAAAGGUGCCAAGUUCAAGUCUUA